RNAcentral lists this ribosomal RNA (352 nucleotides) under uncultured Prevotella sp. RNAcentral's name for it is "bacterial SSU rRNA". It matches the Rfam family "Bacterial small subunit ribosomal RNA", at positions 355 to 703 of the family's 1533-position model. The record is from RNAcentral. Lineage: Bacteria; Pseudomonadati; Bacteroidota; Bacteroidia; Bacteroidales; Prevotellaceae.
UGAGGAAUAUUGGGUCAAUGGACGCAAGUCUGAACCAGCCAAGUAGCGUGCAGGAUGACGGCCCUAUGGGUUGUAAACUGCUUUUAUGCGGGGAUAAAGUGUGGGACGUGUCCCAUAUUGCAGGUACCGCAUGAAUAAGGACCGGCUAAUUCCGUGCCAGCAGCCGCGGUAAUACGGAAGGUCCUGGUGUUAUCCGGAUUUAUUGGGUUUAAAGGGAGCGUAGGCUGUUGCUUAAGCGUGUUGUGAAAUGCCGCGGCUCAACCGUGGCACUGCAGCGCGAACUGGGCGGCUUGAGUUACCGGUAGGCAGGCGGAAUUCGUGGUGUAGCGGUGAAAUGCUUAGAUAUCACGAA